GUUUUUAUAAUUUAAUUUAAAAUAUUGAUUUUGUAAUUCAAAAAUAAGGAAUUUUCUUUAAAAACU
This 66-nucleotide transfer RNA is filed under the name Potamyia horvati. RNAcentral's name for it is "tRNA-Thr". Lineage: Eukaryota; Metazoa; Arthropoda; Insecta; Trichoptera; Hydropsychidae. The record is from RNAcentral.